AUGCAUAAAUGCAUUUGGAAACCUGUUUUACCAAAAAUACUUGAACCUGAAAUGUCCAAUUCAUAUCCCAACAAACUGAUUUGGUUUCCAGCCGGGAGUAACAUCCCAGUUAUUCCCCAGAGACGAUGCAGUUUUUUAAUGGCAAAGGGGAGACACCUAUGGAGACUGAGCCAGAGUGUGAACUCUUUUCAGCAUGACAGGGAGUGGUACACAGUGUGUGCUUUGCACAACAGGCUCAUUCCCAUUUUGCUCAGAUCCACGUGCCGAUACUGGUAUGACUUUAUGGCUCAGUAGCCGUCUGGAUAAAUGCUAUAAAAAUCCUGCCUCCUCACAAAAGGAGGAGAAGGAACGCACUGUUAAGAAAAAUAAAAUCAAAUUUUAUGCUUUGCCA
This 391-nucleotide long non-coding RNA is filed under the name Anas platyrhynchos platyrhynchos (common mallard). Its description in RNAcentral is "lncRNA (ENSAPLG00000017848.1)". The record is from RNAcentral. Lineage: Eukaryota; Metazoa; Chordata; Aves; Anseriformes; Anatidae.